This is a long non-coding RNA of Acanthopagrus latus (yellowfin seabream), 1743 nucleotides long. RefSeq lists it as uncharacterized. NCBI's taxonomy places the organism in Eukaryota, Metazoa, Chordata, Actinopteri, Spariformes, Sparidae. The record is from RefSeq and is a predicted model, not a curated record. The transcript is spliced from 4 exons.
CGGCUCUGAAACUCUACACACUGAUCUGUUUAAAGUUUGUGAUGGGGGGCCUCAUGUUAGCAGGAAACCUACAGAGCAGGACAUGCAAACACUAUUUGUUCAGCUACAAUUUAGUUCUUUCAGCAAAGAAUAUUCAGGUGUUUUAGUGUCAAAUAACACACCAGGUAAAUGCAAACAGCACUUUUGUUCUGAUAAGUAAGUAGAACAUCAGUCAUGUUCAUUUUUGGCAGCUCUUCCAAACACUGAGUGUAUAAAAGAGCCGUGGCCACCUAACCUUAGCAUGCAGCUAGCUAAGUUCGCUCAGGGUAAUUUAUAUAGGGCUCAAACCAGCAGAUGUUGAUCUUAUCUUUGCAUAAAUAUCAGAAACGACGGAGAGGACUCACCUGGCUCUAUCCAAAGCUCUGCAUCCUUUGUGGGCUAAAGCCUUCUGCAAAAGAAAAUGUGUGCGAGCACUUUUCCUGGGCGGGGGGGUGCUUGCUCUCUCCAUCAUAUCCUUGGAAGUUUCCGAUGGUGGUCGCCAGACAGAUUACAGGGAUAACGUCCGGAUGUUUUCGGCAUCACGACGGGGGACAGAGGAGUCCUCCCUGGAGGUGUAAUUAGCAAACAAAAGCCUGUGAUGCCGUCUUGGUCCUCCCUUCAUCUUUUAGCCGGCAGCUAAAACACAGCAGCACAUGUUUACCUCCGAGCUGUUGGGAAAUGUCUGGCUCUGUAAUUACACUGCUGGCUGGAAUGCAAUCGACGUUUCCUGAGUAACACCGUUGUUUCUGUGCAACACAGACAUUUAAGAAUUAACCUGCCACAUACGUUUCUGAAAUCCGAGCGGAACGUUUGGCAGGUUGUUAAAUAUAUUAUUAAUACACUGGAUCCAAGCGGACAGAUGCUGAUUAAAAGAGAAUGUGCGAGGAAGGUGCCAAUCCUCUGCUUGUGACGAUUCAGCCCUCUUUACUGCCUUUCGUGGCAGAUUCGGCACAGGACUGACUGGUUGCUGGUUUUCAUUGGAGAGACGGGGGCCAGACACAAAGUGGAGGUGGAUUUUAUAUGAUACUCAUAAGGAACACAUUACGGGGGGUGUCCUGGAGGACCUGACUUCUGGGGCACAUCAUGACUUUCUGCACACUGGUGCCCCACUGCACACAGCUGGUGCCCUUUUUUGUUUGGCUUCUCGCCCCUCAAACACGCUGAGUCCACCACCGCUUAAAAUGUCACUUAUAUUCUGUCAAGAUGAUUCUUAAUGGCCUUCUCAGUGAUUCCCCCAGUGCUCAGCGGCCACUUUAACCAAUGGAACUUCUCUCUUCCGGCCUAAGUAUCUGACUCUCAUGGAUGUGUACACUGUGUCGUCGGAGGAGGUCCAGAGGUCAAAGGGUCAGAUAGCGGAGCCAAUGAUGACAAAACCAAGUAUCUCACUGUGGCGCUGGACAGCUCACGGUCUAAUCCAAAAUAGAUAAAAAUGAUUAUAAACUGUUCCUGUUGAGAUCCUGAUGGAGGAGGUGACUGGACUUUACUCGCUAUACAUCUCAAGCGAGCAGGAGUGAGUGAUGCUGGAGCUCUGGCAUUUGUGCGUGAAAACGAACAUUUUGCUUUGCCAAAGACAUCUCCACAUCACAUGCCGAACAUUACUUACCCCGUUGUUUCCCACAUUCACAGACAUCGAAGCAUUUCAUUUCCUUUCGCAAUCUGUUAUUGUCAAAUCUCAUGACACAUGAACUUUUGGCCAUUCGUUCCAAUAAAAGAGAGGCAGCCCUG